This 3485-nucleotide long non-coding RNA is filed under the name Mus musculus (house mouse). RNAcentral's name for it is "predicted gene, 47079". Lineage: Eukaryota; Metazoa; Chordata; Mammalia; Rodentia; Muridae. The record is from RNAcentral.
GGAGAAGCCCGGAGCUCCAGGUGGUGGCAGAAGCGUGGGAAGCUAGAAGAGGGCGGAGCCUGGAGGGGACACCCGGGCCGCCCUCUCUGGUCCUUCAAUUCCGCCCCCGCCUUAUCCACCUGGCUCCGCCGGCGGGCUCUUCUUACCUGAGAUGCCUAGGAUCCCCAGGCCCAGGGCAGCCCAGAGGCCGAGGAGCGCUCGGCGCAGCCCUGGCGAAGGCCCCGGCAUUGCCGCCGCUGCCGGGGAGGGGAGAGCACAGAAGCAGGCUAAGUAUGGGAGCCACGCCCCUAAGACCUCCUCCGCGCACGCGGCGAAGGAAGAGGGGGAUCAAGUGCCAGCAAGACUCGGACACGUGUGCGUGUGCGCAGCGUUCGCAGGCUUCUAAAUUAGAGUCGACUCCGGCACCCGAUCUUUAUUUACCCAGAGUGCAGCGGGAAUGUGUCUACAACGCUGUUGUGUGUCUAGUCUCUCAGCAGAGCUUCUGCGCCCUCCUCGCCAGGAGUGUGGCCGCCUCUACUGGGUAACUAGUGCGAGAUUCUGCAAUUCACGCUGGACCAAAAGAUCAACUGGGGACACUUUGACCCCAGCUUUGACAUCCCUCUCUACAUACAUACCAGACUCGGAGACAACAAGCACAACGCCAGGAAGCAAGUCUGUGACAGCUCACGUGGCCUGAACAAUCAUCUCUUAACUUGUUGCUAUGCUAGAUUUCCUAUCUAGUUAGCCGCUUCCUCUACUACUUGAAGAAGGCCCCGCCUACUCGAGUGUUUCUACCUCCCCCCCCCCCCCCAAUUAAUGAUAACCUUGGGGAAUCAGGUCUAGCUCCACCCGCUGGCCUUCUCUAGUAACGCACAGGCUCCGUAGUGGAAAAGGAGGGAGGAGAAGGGAAACUUAGCCUCCAAUCAGAGCUCCGGCCUGUAUCAGCGGAGCCAAUCAGAAAAAGCCAUACCAAGAGUCAGCCCUGGAGGGGAGGUCAGUUUAGUCUUUCUGCCCCGCACAAAUAAAGCUAACAAAACUCUACGCAGAGGAACUCGGGUUCUAGGACCCCAUGCUGGCCUUGAAGGAGAAAUUUCAAGGUGUUGUUUCCUCCAGUACUACCUCUAAUCUACUAAUCUUCAGCCCCUACGUAAGGAAUUUGGAAAAAGUAAGGUACCUUAAAAAAGAAACCACUUUCUCCAAGAACCGUAAGGCAGAGACUGAGGAGGAAGACUUUAUUGUUUCAAUAAGAGUCUCUGAAUUAAUUACUCUGAAGUUCUUUUCCCCUCCCUCUUGUCAGGCAUCGAAAACAGAUCUAUAACUAAGUCUGCACAGCCAGGUACUUGCGCACGUAGACAGCCCCCACAGCCAGGAGGAUCCCCACCAGGGUUGCGAUGGAGGUAGAGGCCAAGGCUAUAGAGGCUGGGCUUAAAGCUGUGGGCAGGAGUGAAAAUCAGGAACUAGGAGGUCUGAGGACCGCCAAGCGUGGAGCCCACGCCUGUUCUGCAGGCCCCCUUGGAGUGGCAACAUCCCCUCUCCCGCACCCAUUCCCUGGGAUUACAGGAUGCCUCACCGAGGACUGUCAACAUAACAGGUGCCGAGCUGCUGCGCACCACUAGCCCGUCGAGAUUGAGGCGCGCAUGGCAGGUGAGUGGCUGCCAGAGGUCGUUGAGUCCGGCCCGCAUCACGUAGGUCAAAGUGACAUUAGCCAAAUCUGAACCGGUGAAGCGCUCCAGGCUUUCAUGAUAAAUCACUCGGCCACCUCUUCUCAGGCUCACCACCAAGAAUCCCACUGGGAACACGUGUGUCACAUAGCAUCGCAGAGUGUACUUGUGGCCCACUAGGACCGGAGGCUCCAAGAUCACGCUUCUGGGCCGUUCUAAGGCAAGAGAGAUAAGGCCCACAGGCACCCCUUAAAGCAAUUACCAUCUAUCCGCUUCCUCCACCCCUCUCCCCUCACCCCAGCCCGGCCUGAGCCCCGGUCUCCCUCACUGUAAGCAGUGAUCCUGGCGGUGGCCUCUCGGGUUUCUCCUGCGCAAGUGACGACGCAGCGCACCUUGGAAUUCCAGGCCCUCACAUCCAGUAGCUGGUAAGAUACCCAGCCGGAUCCAUUAACUAUCUUUCCCUGCCGCAGUUGGGUGCGCAGGCUGGAAUGCACCGGCAGGGGGCAGUUGUGGCUGCAGUUAAGCCACGCUGAGCCCCCGGGAGGCACGGCCUCUAGCUCUGGAUUAAGACGCACCCAGAAAGGUGCUGAGGUCACGGAAGGCGCGGGAGGACUUUGCAUCCACUCUUGCUGGGGGCUCCCACCCCUCGGAUAGGCAGCCACCAGCAAAAGCGACGGGAGCAGAAGGGCAGACUCCAUGGCACAAAGCCCGCGCUGAAGUGCGGGCGGAACGCCAGGGAGUUUAGGCUGGCCGCAGGAGAUAAGAAGGCACCCUGGCCACGCCCCAGAAUGGGCCUCGGCCGGCCCUGAUGAAGAUACCUGCCUCCCCUCCCAUCAGACCCUACAAUCAACCAAAAGCCAUUGCACAGUUCUGGACCUGCUCUUUAGUUUUUACGUAAGCCCCAAGAAGUCUUUAAAAAUUAAAAAAUAAAAUAACGCUUGGUGAUGGCACAUGCCUUUGAUCCCAGCACUCCCAGGGAGGCAGAUCUCUGUAAGUUCAAGGCCAUCCUGAUCUACACUGGGAAACCCUGUCUAUCUAACGUAGAUUUUACUAGACAUGGCAGUGGCUUUGUCAUUUAGUCCUAGCAUUCAGGAGACAGGUUGGCCCAUCUUUGUGAAGUCAAGGCCAGCCCAUUCCACAUAGCAGAUUUCAGGACAUCCAUGGCCACAAAGAGAACCUGUCUCAAAAAAGAAAGGGGGUGGGGGUGGGGACCAACCUGAUCCACAGACUCAGAGUUAGGGUUAGGUUACCAGACAACCCUGAGGCAUUAUGGGAGUCGGCAGUCCUUAGGGCUUUGCCUAACUGAUGUGAUGACUGUACACAAACUCACAAGACACUCAGGCCGACAUAAAACUUUAUUGAUUCAAAGGAAAGGUUUCUGUGCUGGGAGGGGUGCUUACCCUCCCACAGCAGCUUGCACGACCCUUCUAAGGAGUUGGAACAUUUCCUUCCAGGCUUUCUCUUUGAGGUGGAGCCGCCUGGGACCAUGAUUUCAUGAGCAUGAGGCUCGAUUGUUCAGCUGCUAAGGCAUGGUGGCUGACAUUGGGAACAAAAGUAGGUGGGGAGGUGCUGGGACGCUCCAGGAUGUGGAGGAGCAGAGAACCACUGCCAGUCCACAUAGUGUUUAUGUGACUGGUGAAAAAAGUCGACCCUUAUGAGAAAAGCAUCCUGACCAGUAGAGAAACCCUCGACCCAUGUGAUCUUUCCCCAGACUCUCACAGCAUCUGCAGCAGGGUCCAGGCCAUAACUUAUACAUUCACCUCCUCACUGAUCUACUAUAUACAGGGUACUCAAUAAAUAGCUGGUAAAACUCUAAAUUAAUAAAUACAUCAAGAAGAGUUGGGG